AUUGAACGCUGGCGGCAGGCCUAACACAUGCAAGUCGAGCGGAUGAAGGGAGCUUGCUCCUGGAUUCAGCGGCGGACGGGUGAGUAAUGCCUAGGAAUCUGCCUGGUAGUGGGGGAUAACGUCCGGAAACGGGCGCUAAUACCGCAUACGUCCUGAGGGAGAAAGUGGGGGAUCUUCGGACCUCACGCUAUCAGAUGAGCCUAGGUCGGAUUAGCUAGUUGGUGGGGUAAAGGCCUACCAAGGCGACGAUCCGUAACUGGUCUGAGAGGAUGAUCAGUCACACUGGAACUGAGACACGGUCACGACUCCUACGGGAGGCAGCAGUGGGGAAUAUUGGACAAUGGGCGAAAGCCUGAUCCAGCCAUGCCGCGUGUGUGAAGAAGGUCUUCGGAUUGUAAAGCACUUUAAGUUGGGAGGAAGGGCAGUAAGUUAAUACCUUGCUGUUUUGACGUUACCAACAGAAUAAGCACCGGCUAACUUCGUG
Molecule: ribosomal RNA, 484 nt
Filed under: uncultured bacterium
Lineage: Bacteria
Description: partial 16S ribosomal RNA
Rfam family: Bacterial small subunit ribosomal RNA
Source: RNAcentral